AUGAUCUUAAGUAAGCCCAUUUUGCUUCAAUUUUCUUAUCUAGAAAAUGGGGAUAAUAACACCCAUGUUAUAGAGUUAUUCUGAUGAUUUCUAAGAGUCUCAGAGACCUAGGAUCCACAAAAUCAAAACAACAAAACCAAGCCUUUGUGCACAUCUGUGGUUGUGACCAGUUGGAGAGACAUUAGGAGAUGAGAUACUAUGUUCACUCCUCACAGCUGUACCAGGGACCUGAGAUAUUCCGUCACUAUUCUAUGAGCCUGGGCUGGUGAAUGGUUCCUGCUUUCACUAUUCCAGAUGUCCAGCUCUGUACCUUGCUGCUCUCCUUAAAGCCUGCCUCCCUCUAGGGAGCUAUGGUGCAUUACUCACGAGUGACAGAACCAACGAGCUUCAUCUCCCAAGAGGCUGGUGCAUCUGUUUAAAGGAGCAGGCACUAGGCAGAGCAGCCCCCACCCCACCCUCCAUGGCAGAGUGCAGUGGGGGAAGUUUUCAUAGAAAUGCUUUCUAUAAAGCAUUUUCAUAGAGAAAGCAGGUUCAUAUAGAAAGCACUGGCUGCUGGUUGGAGUGGAGAGAUUGAAGACCCUCAUCUAGGAUCAAGCAACCCCCAGAAAACAAUUUUAAACAUGUCCAUUCAGACAAAAGGAGUCCAAAACCAUAAGAUCCUCUCAGCAUCCUGAACUAAUGUCCAGCUGUUAUCUCGGGAUGGGAUUUCACCAUGUUGUCCAAGCUGGUUUUGAACUCCUGGGGUCAAGAAAUCCACCUGCUUCGGCCUCCCACAGUGCUGGGAUUACAGAUUGUGCUUUUGGUGUUACAUCUAAGAAAUCUUUGCUUUUGAUUAUUUUAAAAAUUGAUUUUCUCAUCAAGUAAAAGAAAAUGUACUUUCAAGUUCCUUUAAGUAUAUCCACGUUGCCUAGGCAACCAAGUUAUUUAUCAAUAGGUGAUCAUUUGUAAUGAUUUGUUAAUAAAGGAAUUAGAAA
Molecule: long non-coding RNA, 974 nt
Filed under: Homo sapiens (human)
Lineage: Eukaryota; Metazoa; Chordata; Mammalia; Primates; Hominidae
Description: long intergenic non-protein coding RNA 1524
Source: RNAcentral